RNAcentral lists this ribosomal RNA (426 nucleotides) under Mucor sp. SW087. Its description in RNAcentral is "LSU rRNA". It matches the Rfam family "Eukaryotic large subunit ribosomal RNA", at positions 331 to 670 of the family's 3401-position model. The record is from RNAcentral. Lineage: Eukaryota; Fungi; Mucoromycota; Mucoromycetes; Mucorales; Mucoraceae.
AGACCGAUAGCGAACAAGUACCGUGAGGAAAGAGAAAAGAACUUUGAAAAGAGAGUUAAACAGUAUGUGAAAUUGUUAAAAGGGAACCGUUUGGAGCCAGACUGGCUUAAUCGUAAUCACUCUAGGCUUUGGCCUGGAUGCACUUGCGGUUUAUGCCGGCCAACGACAGUUUUGUUUGAGGGAAAAAAUUACAUUGAAUGUGGCCCCUCGGGGUGUUAUAGCUUUGUAAAAAAUACCUUGAACGGGACUGAGGAACGCAGCGAAUGCCUUUAGGCGAGAUUGCUGGGUGCUUGCGCUGAUACAUGCUAGAAUUUCUGCUUCGGGUGGUGCUAGUGUGUAAAGGAGUAACCCGCCUAGUAUAUUUUUUAUUCGCUUAGGUUGUUGGCUUAAUGACUCUAAAUGACCCGUCUUGAAACACGGACCAAG